This 583-nucleotide long non-coding RNA is filed under the name Crocodylus porosus (Australian saltwater crocodile). RNAcentral's name for it is "lncRNA (ENSCPRG00005002302.1)". Lineage: Eukaryota; Metazoa; Chordata; Crocodylia; Crocodylidae. The record is from RNAcentral.
GCCUACUUUAUCCCCAGCACAACCUGCUGCUCUCUACCACAGAAGAGCUGCCUUCUGCUUAUUCUCCUGAGGCUGGCAAGGCACUACCAGUUCUGGCAUUAAGUUUGAGAGGGCCGAAAGCACGACACACCUUACAGGAUAUUGUAGGGCCUUCUGAUCCACAGCUGGCCCGUGUGACUGACUGCAGCUCCAUCAGUGCCCUCUAUUGUAGGAGCCGAGCUGAGCCUCUUGUCUACCUGCCCCGCACAGACAGCCGUGUGAACAGGGAGCUGUGCCUUUGGUUUGGAGGAAGAGUAUAUUCUGACACAGCACUUCAUGUUGGUGUCCAGAAUCCUGCCUGCAAAUAUAACAGAUCAAGGCCUCAGAGUCCUUCAUCAUGCAGAACAGAAGAAUGGGAUGAUCUGCAGGGCAAGGCACCAUCCAGUGCUCCAACAACACUUGUCUCGACCACCAAAGGAGAUGUCAUUUUGGUGGUCUCACCUACUAUUCCUCCUCAUGCAUACGCUGAUGUGAUUUCAACUUGCACUCGGAGAGGGUUUAUUCUGCAGGGAAUCAGGCAGCUGCGGCUUUCACUUAAACAAGC